UAGGGAAUCUUCCACAAUGGACGCAAGUCUGAUGGAGCAACGCGCGUGAGUGAAGAAGGUCUUCGGAUCGUAAACUCUGUUGUUAGAGGAGAACACGAGUGAGAGUAACUGUUCAUUCGAUGACGGUAUCUAACCAGCAAGUCACGGCUAACUACGUGCCAG
Molecule: ribosomal RNA, 162 nt
Filed under: uncultured bacterium
Lineage: Bacteria
Description: partial 16S rRNA
Rfam family: Bacterial small subunit ribosomal RNA
Source: RNAcentral